This 68-nucleotide transfer RNA is filed under the name Marmota monax (woodchuck). Its description in RNAcentral is "tRNA.Ala". The record is from RNAcentral. Lineage: Eukaryota; Metazoa; Chordata; Mammalia; Rodentia; Sciuridae.
GGUUAUGGCUCAAGUGGUAGAGCAUUCGCCUCGCAUGUGCAAGGCCCUGGGUUCGAUCCUCAGCACCA